This 254-nucleotide ribosomal RNA is filed under the name uncultured bacterium. Its description in RNAcentral is "partial 16S ribosomal RNA". It matches the Rfam family "Bacterial small subunit ribosomal RNA", at positions 524 to 776 of the family's 1533-position model. The record is from RNAcentral.
UACGUAGGGACCGAGCGUUGUCCGGAAUCAUUGGGCGUAAAGAGCGUGUAGGCGGCCACUUAAGUCCUGCGUGAAAUCUUGCGGCUCAACCGCAAGCGGUCGUGGGAAACUGGGUGGCUAGAGUGCGGGAGAGGAGAGUGGAAUUCCUGGUGUAGCGGUGGAAUGCGCAGAUAUCAGGAAGAACACCCGUGGCGAAGGCGGCUCACUGGCUCGUAACUGACGCUCAGGCGCGACAGCGUGGGGGAUCAAACAGG